This 419-nucleotide ribosomal RNA is filed under the name uncultured ammonia-oxidizing beta proteobacterium. RNAcentral describes it as "bacterial SSU rRNA". It matches the Rfam family "Bacterial small subunit ribosomal RNA", at positions 197 to 597 of the family's 1533-position model. The record is from RNAcentral. Lineage: Bacteria; Pseudomonadati; Pseudomonadota; Betaproteobacteria.
UGGAGGAAAGCAGGGGAUCGUAAGACCUUGCGCUUUUGGAGCGGCCGAUGUCUGAUUAGCUAGUUGGUGGGGUAAUGGCCUACCAAAGCUUCGAUCAGUAGCUGGUCUGAGAGGACGGCCAGCCACACUGGGACUGAGACACGGCCCAGACUCCUACGGGAGGCAGCAGUGGGGAAUUUUGGACAAUGGGCGCAAGCCUAAUCCAGCCAUGCCGCGUGAGUGAAGAAGGCCUUCGGGUUGUAAAGCUCUUUCAGCCGGGAAGAAAAGGCUGCGACUAAUAAUCGCAGUUCAUGACGGUACCGGAAGAAGAAGCACCGGCUAACUACGUGCCAGCAGCCGCGGUAAUACGUAGGGUGCGAGCGUUAAUCGGAAUUACUGGGCGUAAAGGGUGCGCAGGCGGUCUUGUAAGUCAGAUGUGA